CCUACGGGAGGCAGCAGUGGGGAAUAUUGGGCAAUGGACGCAAGUCUGACCCAGCAACGCCGCGUGAAGGAAGAAGGCUUUCGGGUUGUAAACUUCUUUUAAGGGGGAAGAGCAGAAGACGGUACCCCUUGAAUAAGCCACGGCUAACUACGUGCCAGCAGCCGCGGUAAUCCGUAGGUGGCAAGCGUGGUCCGGAUUUACUGGGUGUAAGGGGCUUGCAGCCGGAGAGACAAGUCAGAUGUGAAAUCCACGGGCCAAACCCGUGAACUGCAUUUGAAACUUUUUCCCUUGAGGGUGGGAGAGGUAAUCGGAAUUCCUGGUGUAGCGGUGAAAUGCGUAGAUAUAAGGAAGAACACCAGUGGCGAAGGCGGAUUACUGGACGAUAACUGACGGUGAUGCACGAAAGUGUGGGUAUCAAACAGGAUUAGAUACCCGUGUAGUC
This 442-nucleotide ribosomal RNA is filed under the name uncultured bacterium. RNAcentral describes it as "partial 16S ribosomal RNA". It matches the Rfam family "Bacterial small subunit ribosomal RNA", at positions 338 to 795 of the family's 1533-position model. The record is from RNAcentral.